AACCAGCACCUCAAGUGGUCAGGAGGAUUAUUGGGCCUAAAGCAUCCGUAGCCGGCUCUGUAAGUUUUCGGUUAAAUCUAUAUGCUCAACGUAUAGGCUGCCGAAAAUACUGCACAGCUAGGGAAUGGGAGAGGUAGACGGUACUCGGUAGGAAGGGGUAAAAUCCUUUGAUCUAUCGAUGACCACCAAUGGCGAAGGCAGCUUCCUGGAUCGUAACUGACGCUAAAGUGCGAAAGCGUGGGUAGCAAACAGG
Molecule: ribosomal RNA, 253 nt
Filed under: uncultured archaeon
Lineage: Archaea
Description: partial 16S ribosomal RNA
Rfam family: Archaeal small subunit ribosomal RNA
Source: RNAcentral